AGUGAACGCUGGCGGUAGGCCUAACACAUGCAAGUCGAACGGCAGCACAGUAAGAGCUUGCUCUUACGGGUGGCGAGUGGCGGAUGGGUGAGGAAUACAUCGGAAUCUACUUUUUCGUGGGGGAUAACGUAGGGAAACUUACGCUAAUACCGCAUACGACCUACGGGUGAAAGCAGGGGAUCUUCGGACCUUGCGCGAUUGAAUGAGCCGAUGUCGGAUUAGCUAGUUGGCGGGGUAAAGGCCCACCAAGGCGACGAUCCGUAGCUGGUCUGAGAGGAUGAUCCGCCACACUGGAACUGAGACACGGUCCAGACUCCUACGGGAGGCAGCAGUGGGGAAUAUUGGGCAAUGGGCGCAAGCCUGAUCCAGCCAUACCGCGUGGGUGAAGAAGGCCUUCGGGUUGUAAAGCCCUUUUGUUGGGAAAGAAAAGCAGCAGGUUAAUACCCCGCUGUUCUGACGGUACCCAAAGAAUAAGCACCGGCUAACUUCGUG
Molecule: ribosomal RNA, 492 nt
Filed under: uncultured bacterium
Lineage: Bacteria
Description: partial 16S ribosomal RNA
Rfam family: Bacterial small subunit ribosomal RNA
Source: RNAcentral